GACGAACGCUGGCGGCGUGCUUAACACAUGCAAGUCGAACGGAAAGGCCCUGCUUUUGUGGGGUGCUCGAGUGGCGAACGGGUGAGUAACACGUGAGUAACCUGCCCUUGACUUUGGGAUAACUUCAGGAAACUGGGGCUAAUACCGGAUAGGAGCUCCUGCUGCAUGGUGGGGGUUGGAAAGUUUCGGCGGUUGGGGAUGGACUCGCGGCUUAUCAGCUUGUUGGUGGGGUAGUGGCUUACCAAGGCUUUGACGGGUAGCCGGCUUGAGAGGGUGACCGGCCACAUUGGGACUGAGAUACGGCCCAGACUCCUACGGGAGGCAGCAGGGGGGAAUAUUGCACAAUGGGCGGAAGCCUGAUGCAGCAACGCCGCGUGCGGGAUGACGGCCUUCGGGUUGUAAACCGCUUUCGCCUGUGACGAAGCGUGAGUGACGGUAAUGGGUAAAGAAGCACCGGCUAACUACGUG
This 468-nucleotide ribosomal RNA is filed under the name uncultured bacterium. Its description in RNAcentral is "partial 16S ribosomal RNA". It matches the Rfam family "Bacterial small subunit ribosomal RNA", at positions 28 to 507 of the family's 1533-position model. The record is from RNAcentral.